GCAGCAGCCGCGGGAAUACGAAGGGGGCUAGCGUUGUUCGGAAUUACUGGGCGUAAAGCGUGCGUAGGCGGUGAGUUAAGUCUGCUGUGAAAUCCCCGGGCUCAACCUGGGAAUGGCAGUGGAUACUGGCUCGCUAGAGUGUGUCAGAGGAUGGUGGAAUUCCCGGUGUAGCGGUGAAAUGCGUAGAGAUCGGGAGGAACAUCAGUGGCGAAGGCGGCCAUCUGGGACAACACUGACGCUGAGGCACGAAAGCGUGGGGAGCAAACAGGAUUAGAUACCCGUGUAGUCCCUGUCUCUUAUAC
Molecule: ribosomal RNA, 302 nt
Filed under: uncultured bacterium
Lineage: Bacteria
Description: partial 16S ribosomal RNA
Rfam family: Bacterial small subunit ribosomal RNA
Source: RNAcentral